UACGAAGGGGGCUAGCGUUGUUCGGAAUUACUGGGCGUAAAGCGCGUGUAGGCGGGUCUUUAAGUCAGGGGUGAAAUGCCAAGGCUCAACCUUGGAACUGCCUUUGAUACUGGAGACCUUGAGUCCGGGAGAGGUGAGUGGAAUUGCGAGUGUAGAGGUGAAAUUCGUAGAUAUUCGGAAGAACACCAGUGGCGAAGGCGACUCGCUGGACAAGUAUUGACGCUGAGGUGCGAAAGCGUGGGGAGCGAACAGG
This 253-nucleotide ribosomal RNA is filed under the name uncultured bacterium. RNAcentral describes it as "partial 16S ribosomal RNA". It matches the Rfam family "Bacterial small subunit ribosomal RNA", at positions 524 to 776 of the family's 1533-position model. The record is from RNAcentral.